AUAUCUCUCUGUACGGGAAGGAUGAGAAGCUUCGACUAAGGUUCGAUUCGAGCGCAGCGAGAAAGCGUUGCCGCAGGCAACGACCCGAAGGGCGAAGCGC
This 100-nucleotide small RNA is filed under the name Salmonella enterica subsp. enterica serovar Muenchen. RNAcentral describes it as "partial RtT sRNA". It matches the Rfam family "RtT RNA", at positions 1 to 99 of the family's 130-position model. From Rfam's summary of the family: This family represents a bacterial cis-regulatory element known as RtT RNA. Lineage: Bacteria; Pseudomonadati; Pseudomonadota; Gammaproteobacteria; Enterobacterales; Enterobacteriaceae. RNAcentral also lists the same sequence under 2 other names. The record is from RNAcentral.